GGCACUCUUAUGGUGUAUAGGGGUGCCACUGUGAUGUCCCAAGAAGAAAAACUAUGAAAAGAGUUUUUUAUAUUCAUGCAUGUUAUUAAAAAUUUAUGCAUAUGUGAUAUGCUUGAGAUGCUUAGUUAUAAUCAUGUUGUAUGAUUAUAUUUUCAUAUCUUAAAGAUAUGAUUGGAUGCUAUGAUUAGUUGUUAUGAUUGUUAAGAUACAACUAUAAUAGUUCAUCAUUAUUGAAUUAGGAUGUGCAUAAGAUCA
RNAcentral lists this long non-coding RNA (255 nucleotides) under Elaeis guineensis (African oil palm). RNAcentral describes it as "long non-coding RNA (EGUI_LNC048803)". The record is from RNAcentral. Lineage: Eukaryota; Viridiplantae; Streptophyta; Magnoliopsida; Arecales; Arecaceae.